Molecule: ribosomal RNA, 433 nt
Filed under: uncultured bacterium
Lineage: Bacteria
Description: partial 16S ribosomal RNA
Rfam family: Bacterial small subunit ribosomal RNA
Source: RNAcentral
AACGAACGCUGGCGGCAUGCCUAACACAUGCAAGUCGAACGAGACCUUCGGGUCUAGUGGCGCACGGGUGCGUAACGCGUGGUAACCUGCCCUUAGGUUCGGAAUAACUUCCCGAAAGGGGUGCUAAUACCGGCUAAUGUCUUCGGACCAAAGAUUUAUCGCCUUUGGAUGGGCCCGCGUUGGAUUAGCUAGUUGGUAGGGUAAAAGCCUACCAAGGCGACGAUCCAUAGCUGGUCUGAGAGGAUGAUCAGCCACACUGGGACUGAGACACGGCCCAGACUCCUACGGGAGGCAGCAGUGGGGAAUAUUGGACAAUGGGCGAAAGCCUGAUCCAGCAAUGCCGCGUGAGUGAUGAAGGCCUUAGGGUUGUAAAGCUCUUUUACCCGGGAUGAUAAUGACAGUACCGGGAGAAUAAGCUCCGGCUAACUCCGUG